GAGAAUGCCGGUGUGAGUAGCGAAAGACGGGUGAGAAUCCCGUCCACCGAUUGACUAAGGUUUCCAGAGGAAGGCUCGUCCGCUCUGGGUUAGUCGGGUCCUAAGCUGAGGCCGACAGGCGUAGGCGAUGGAUAACAGGUUGAUAUUCCUGUACCACCUAUAAUCGUUUUAAUCGAUGGGGGGACGCAGUAGGAUAGGCGAAGCGUGCGAUUGGAUUGCACGUCUAAGCAGUAA
Molecule: ribosomal RNA, 234 nt
Filed under: Staphylococcus aureus
Lineage: Bacteria; Bacillati; Bacillota; Bacilli; Caryophanales; Staphylococcaceae
Description: partial 23S ribosomal RNA
Rfam family: Bacterial large subunit ribosomal RNA
Source: RNAcentral